Molecule: ribosomal RNA, 381 nt
Filed under: uncultured eukaryote
Lineage: Eukaryota
Description: partial 18S ribosomal RNA
Rfam family: Eukaryotic small subunit ribosomal RNA
Source: RNAcentral
CAAUAGCGUAUAUUAAAGUUGUUGCAGUUAAAAAGCUCGUAGUCGGAUUUCUGGUUGAAGCGACCGGUCGGGCGUUGAUUCGUCUGCACUGGAGUCGGUUUUGGCCAUCCUCUAGGAAAGUGCGUCUGGUAUUAAGUUAUCGGGCGUAUGAUCCUGGUCUUUUACUGUGAAAAAAUUAGAGUGUUUAAAGCAGGCCUUCGCCUUGAAUACAUUAGCAUGGAAUAAUAAGAUAGGACUUUGGUCUAUUUUGUUGGUUUGCAGACCGAAGUAAUGAUUAAUAGGGAUAGUUGGGGGUAUUUAUAUUCCGAUGUCAGAGGUGAAAUUCUUAGAUUUUCGGAAGAUAAACUUAUGCGAAAGCAUUUACCAAGGAUGUUUNCAUUA